CAGUCGCCGCGGUAACACGUAGGGUGCGAGCGUUAAUCGGAAUUACUGGGCGUAAAGCGUGCGCAGGCGGUUGUGUAAGACAGGUGUGAAAUCCCCGGGCUUAACCUGGGAACUGCGCUUGUGACUGCACAGCUAGAGUAUGGCAGAGGGGGGUGGAAUUCCACGUGUAGCAGUGAAAUGCGUAGAGAUGUGGAGGAACACCGAUGGCGAAGGCAGCCCCCUGGGCCAAUACUGACGCUCAUGCACGAAAGCGUGGGGAGCAAACAGGAUUAGAUACCCGCGUAGUCCCUGUCUCUUAUAC
RNAcentral lists this ribosomal RNA (301 nucleotides) under uncultured bacterium. RNAcentral describes it as "partial 16S ribosomal RNA". It matches the Rfam family "Bacterial small subunit ribosomal RNA", at positions 509 to 807 of the family's 1533-position model. The record is from RNAcentral.